RNAcentral lists this non-coding RNA (107 nucleotides) under Picochlorum sp. RCC944. Lineage: Eukaryota; Viridiplantae; Chlorophyta; Trebouxiophyceae. The record is from RNAcentral.
AGAAGAGAACACAAAAGGCGGGAGCGACCGACCACGUUUUUUUUUGGUUUUUUGUUUUUCCACCGGCUUCUUCUUCUUUCUUUUUUCUUCAUUUCAUUCAUAUCAUU